GAGGGUAUAGCUCAGUGGUAGAGCGCCUGCUUAGCAAGCACGAAGUCCUAGUUUCAAUCCCUAGCACUUA
This 70-nucleotide transfer RNA is filed under the name Camelus bactrianus (Bactrian camel). It matches the Rfam family "tRNA". From Rfam's summary of the family: Transfer RNA (tRNA) molecules are approximately 80 nucleotides in length. The record is from Rfam by way of RNAcentral. Lineage: Eukaryota; Metazoa; Chordata; Mammalia; Artiodactyla; Camelidae. RNAcentral also lists the same sequence under 1 other name.